UACGGCGAGUGAGCGGCAAAAGCUCAAUUUGAAAUCGCUUCGGCGAGUUGUAAGUAAAGUGGUUAGACGCUUUUUAAUAAGUCCCUUGGAACAGGGCGCCAUAGAGGGUGAUAGCCCCGUAUUAAAUUGUCUAGUGUGCUACUUUAGAGCGAGUCGAGUUGUUUGGGAAUGCAGCUCAAAUAGGUGGUAAACUCCAUCUAAAGCUAAAUAUUGCUGGGAGACCGAUAGCGAACAAGUACAGUGAUGGAAAGAUGAAAAGCACUUUGAAAAGAGAGUGAAAUAGCGUGUGAAAUUGUUGGAGGGGAAGGCGAUGGUAGGAAUAAGAGGCUGCGGUUUGAAAUAAAUGUUUUUCGGGCCACGGUCUCCUGAGCCUGCUUUCGCACCCGUCUUG
Molecule: ribosomal RNA, 391 nt
Filed under: Magnusiomyces sp. EXF-9056
Lineage: Eukaryota; Fungi; Ascomycota; Dipodascomycetes; Dipodascales; Dipodascaceae
Description: eukaryotic LSU rRNA
Rfam family: Eukaryotic large subunit ribosomal RNA
Source: RNAcentral